UAAACCCAAAGGCGAAAUGAAAGUAAAUAGUGGUUUAAUUGAAUUUUCAGUUUCCAUUAUAGGGAAGAUGGAAUUACCAAUUGAUUGUAAAUUUUUAGCAUUUAUGUURAAAAUUUCUGUCAAUAUCGGUUUCCCGCACUCCCGGGGCGCUUGUUUCUCGCAUUGCGAGUCACUGCGCACCUAGAGCGUACACGAUGAUACCCGAAAGAUGGUGAACUAUGCCUGGCCAGGACGAAGCCAGGGGAAACCCUGGUGGAGGUCCGCAGCGAUUCUGACGUGCAAAUCGAUCGUCGGAGCUGGGUAUAGGGGCGAAAGACCAAUCGAACCAUCUAGUAGCUGGUUCCCUCUGAAGUUUCCCUCAGGAUAGCUUGCACUCGGUUGAGAAGAGUCUCAUCCGGUAGAGCGAAUGAUUAGAGGCAUUGGGGUCGAAACGACCUCAACCUAUUCUCAAACUCCAAAUAGAUGAGACCCCCGGCUUUCUUAAAAAUGAAGCCGUGGGUAUCGGAUCAGAGUGCCAAGUGGGCCAAU
This 528-nucleotide ribosomal RNA is filed under the name Empicoris sp. Its description in RNAcentral is "partial large subunit ribosomal RNA". Lineage: Eukaryota; Metazoa; Arthropoda; Insecta; Hemiptera; Reduviidae. The record is from RNAcentral.